Molecule: long non-coding RNA, 2213 nt
Organism: Ctenopharyngodon idella (grass carp)
Lineage: Eukaryota; Metazoa; Chordata; Actinopteri; Cypriniformes; Xenocyprididae
Exons: 4
Source: RefSeq, a predicted model, not a curated record
GGAGAUGAAAAACAUGGGUCAUAAGAGGCACUCUUAUCCAUCAGUUCUUGAAUUAGCAUGAUUUUUCAAGCACUGAAUAAUGAACAUGAAGUAUUGGUUUAUGUUAUCUUCAUUGCAUUUACAUCUACAUUUAAGCAAAAUUAAAUCGGCAUCUUGCAACACAAAUAUUAUCCUUAAAUUAUACUAUUCCAGUGUCCCAGUCACUUUCCCCAUCAUUUAACUAAACUGUUUUUAAAUGAAGGUGUUAUAAGUAAUUCCCUGAAUUUUUUUUUUUUUUUUUUCUGUAUCUAGGGGCAAGUGAACUGAAAACUGAAAACACUGAACAGAAUACAGCCAGACCUGAAUGUGAUGAUUGUGGAGGAACAGCCAUCCUGAAACAAUGCUGACAUUUUCAAGGAGGUAUUUUGACUGGAGUGUGGAGGUUAAAGGUGAAGAUCUCCCACAUAAUGACUCCAAAGCUCCAUACAUCACUCUCUGUGGAGAACUUCCUGUACAUGAUGCUCUCCGGAGGCAUCCAGCGAAUGGGCAGCAUGGUGUGACCUCCCACCUAGAAGACAGAUUACACAUCAAGCAUUGCUCACAAACAUCUUGCGUGACUUCAGAAGGAUCCCAGCAUCGGAAACAAAUGGAUCGUUCAUUUUAAUGGCGUCCCAGAUCACAUCAGAGGAUUGUACGUUUGUUCAGAGCAUUUUGUUUUGUAAAAGAGGCACUGUGUAAUGGAGAGUUUGCAAAGAAACUUCUGUUGAAAGAUGAAGCAACUGACUGUAUUCUGACAGCAUCUGCAUCACAAACAGCAAGUAAAUGAUUUCAAUAAUACUUUGUCUGUAAAUUACUUUUUUUUUUUUUAUAUGGAAAAUGUUUUUAAAACACUCACAUGCAAUAGAGAGUGGGCAUCGAUACUGUUUCCUAUGCAAUGACAUUAACCAAUCAUAACAGUGGCUGUUUACUGACGAGCCGCCCCUUAAAAACUGAUCAUUUUCCUUGCUCUUUUGAAAUAAAUGUGUUAUGAUAACAUAAUUCUAUGCUUUGUGAUCUACAUGGCAAGGUGAACGAAUGUUCAAACAGACAGAAAAGUUAACACUUGGUCUCCAAUGUGCAAAUGAGAUGCUAGAGAUUAUUCUUGGAUCUUGCAUAUAGGUAAAGCAAAACUCUGUGCUAACCACCAACUGAGAUGCUAAGUAGUUCAGGAAUGAACUCAUGUUGGGUUGAAAAGGGAAAUAAAUGCAGCAGAACUCAAUUGUAAUUGCAAAAUAGCUUGUGUGAGUCAGUCAUAUUAUGGAUUCCUGAAAAGUCAGCAUGUCAUGGCUCAAGGGACUUGCUUACUUGAAACCGUGCAACAGCUUCCUUUCAAACAAUCCUACUGCAGAAGUCUACAAAUAAAACCAUAAUCAUGCAAGUACAAUUUUUAAUUAUCAAAAUUGUUGUAUGAAUGAAACUCUAAGGGGGAAUUUCACAAAAGCACAUCCAAGUCACAUUUCACACAAAAAUUAUACAGCAUAAAGAAUUAAGCCUGUUUUAAGAUUUUUUUUUUCAUUGCAUUGAGACAUUAAUGAUGAUUAAAUAAAUGUUUCCCCACAAAUUACCAUAAUGCCCAGACAUUUUACUUUUGUGUAUUUCCAUUAUUAUUUUAUUAUUACUAUAUGUGACCCUGGACCACAAAACCAGUCAUAAGUCACAUGGGUAUAUUUGUAGCAAUAGCCAACAAUACAUUGUAUGGGUCAAAAUGAUCGAUUUUUUUUUUUUUUUUUUUAUGCCAAAAAUAAUUAGGAUAUUAAGUAAAGAUCAUGUUCCAUGAAGAUAUUUUGUAAAUUUCUUACUGUAAAUAUAUCAAACAUUUAUUUUUGUGAGUAAUAUGCAUUGCUAAGGACAACUUUAUAGGCGAUUUUCUCAAUAUUUUGAUUUUUUUGCACCUUCAGAUUCCAGAUUUUCAAAUAAUUAUAUCUCAGCCAGAUAUUGUCCUAUUCUAACAAACCAUACAUCAACUGAAUAAAUCUCAAUUUUAAAAAAUUGACCCUUAUGACUGGUUCUGUGGUCCAGGGUUACAUAUAACAGUAAAAUAAUACAAUACAAAUAUUUUUAUUAAGAAUUGAAACAUGCAGUAUAAAAUAUUACUGUGUGAAAAUAAAACAUAAAUAAUAUAUUUAAAUAUUUAAAAAUAUUGAAUAAAAAAUAUAAUUAUAUUAGAUAUUUAUAGAUAUAAUGACAUUGAUAAA